This 513-nucleotide ribosomal RNA is filed under the name uncultured bacterium. RNAcentral describes it as "partial 16S ribosomal RNA". It matches the Rfam family "Bacterial small subunit ribosomal RNA", at positions 28 to 523 of the family's 1533-position model. The record is from RNAcentral.
GAUGAACGCUGGCGGCGUGCCUAAUACAUGCGAGUCGAACGCGCAGCGAGAGGUGCUUGCACCCUUCAAGCGUGUGGCGAACGGGUGAGUAACACGUGGAUAACCUGCCUCAAGGCUGGGGAUAACAUUUGGAAACAGAUGCUAAUACCGAAUAAAACUUAGUAUCGCAUGAUAUCAAGUUAAAAGGCGCUACGGCGUCACCUAGAGCUGGAUCCGCGGUGCAUUAGUUAGUUGGUGGGGUAAAGGCUUACCAAGACGAUGAUGCAUAGCCGAGUUGAGAGACUGAUCGGCCACAUUGGGACUGAGACACGGCCCAAACUCCUACGGGAGGCUGCAGUAGGGAAUCUUCCACAAUGGGCGCAAGCCUGAUGGGGCAACGCCGCGUGUGUGAUGAAGGCUUUCGGGUCGUAAAGCACUGUUGUAUGGGAAGAAAUGCUAAAAUAGGGAAUGAUUUUAGUUUGACGGUACCAUACCAGAAAGGGACGGCUAAAUACGUGCCAGCAGCCGCAGUAA